This 504-nucleotide ribosomal RNA is filed under the name uncultured Geobacter sp. RNAcentral describes it as "bacterial SSU rRNA". It matches the Rfam family "Bacterial small subunit ribosomal RNA", at positions 335 to 831 of the family's 1533-position model. Lineage: Bacteria; Pseudomonadati; Thermodesulfobacteriota; Desulfuromonadia; Geobacterales; Geobacteraceae. The record is from RNAcentral.
ACUCCUACGGGAGGCAGCAGUGGGGAAUUUUGCGCAAUGGGGGAAACCCUGACGCAGCAACGCCGCGUGAGUGAUGAAGGCCCUUGGGUCGUAAAGCUCUGACAGAGGGAAAGAAAUGUGGGUGGCUAAUAUCCAUACCACUUGACGGUACCCUCAAAGGAAGCACCGGCUAACUCCGUGCCAGCAGCCGCGGUAAUACGGAGGGUGCGAGCGUUGUUCGGAUUUAUUGGGCGUAAAGCGCGUGUAGGCGGUUUUAUAAGUCUGAUGUGAAAGCCCCGGGCUCAACCUGGGAAGUGCAUUGGAUACUGUCAGACUUGAAUACGGGAGAGGGUAGUGGAAUUCCUAGUGUAGGAGUGAAAUCCGUAGAUAUUAGGAGGAACACCGGUGGCGAAGGCGGCUACCUGGACCGAUAUUGACGCUGAGACGCGAAAGCGUGGGUAGCAAACAGGAUUAGAUACCCUGGUAGUCCACGCCGUAAACGAUGAGAACUAGGUGUCGCGGGUA